Molecule: small nucleolar RNA, 72 nt
Organism: Daktulosphaira vitifoliae (grape phylloxera)
Lineage: Eukaryota; Metazoa; Arthropoda; Insecta; Hemiptera; Phylloxeridae
Source: RefSeq, a predicted model, not a curated record
UGUAUAUGAUGAUAAAAAAUUUUAGUCAGUUCUGCUACUGAUAAGAACUUGAUGAAAGUUGCAUUCUGAUAA